This 398-nucleotide ribosomal RNA is filed under the name uncultured bacterium. RNAcentral describes it as "partial 16S ribosomal RNA". It matches the Rfam family "Bacterial small subunit ribosomal RNA", at positions 523 to 918 of the family's 1533-position model. The record is from RNAcentral.
AUACGUAGGGUGCGAGCGUUGUCCGGAAUUACUGGGCGUAAAGAGCACGUAGGUGGCUUGUCGCGUCGUCUGUGAAAUUCCGGGGCUUAACUCCGGGCGUGCAGGCGAUACGGGCAUAACUUGAGUACUGUAGGGGUGCCGGGAAUUCCUGGUGUAGCGGGGAAAUGCGCAGAUAUCAGGAGGAACCCCGGUGGCGAAGGCGGGUCUCUGGGCAGUAACUGACGCUGAGGAGCGAAAGCAUGGGUAGCGAACAGGAUUAGAUACCCUGGUAGUCCAUGCCGUAAACGGUGGGCGCUAGGUGUAGGGGUCUUCCACGACUUCUGUGCCGUAGCUAACGCAUUAAGCGCCCCGCCUGGGGAGUACGGCCGCAAGGCUAAAACUCAAAGGAAUUGACGGGG